UGCGACGUCGCCAAGUGGUAAGGCAUCGGCCUUUGGAGUCGACAUCCCGCAGGUCCGAAUCCUGCCGUCGCAA
RNAcentral lists this transfer RNA (73 nucleotides) under Treponema sp. Its description in RNAcentral is "tRNA-Gln". It matches the Rfam family "tRNA". From Rfam's summary of the family: Transfer RNA (tRNA) molecules are approximately 80 nucleotides in length. The record is from RNAcentral. Lineage: Bacteria; Pseudomonadati; Spirochaetota; Spirochaetia; Treponematales; Treponemataceae.